This 244-nucleotide ribosomal RNA is filed under the name uncultured bacterium. Its description in RNAcentral is "partial 16S ribosomal RNA". It matches the Rfam family "Bacterial small subunit ribosomal RNA", at positions 1259 to 1500 of the family's 1533-position model. The record is from RNAcentral.
GAAGGCAAGCGGAUCUCUUAAAGCCGUUCUCAGUUCGGACUGUAGGCUGCAACUCGCCUACACGAAGCUGGAAUCGCUAGUAAUCGCGGAUCAGCACGCCGCGGUGAAUACGUUCCCGGGCCUUGUACACACCGCCCGUCACACCAUGAGAGUCUGUAACACCCAAAGCCGGUGGGAUAACCUUUAUAGGAGUCAGCCGUCUAAGGUAGGACAGAUGAUUAGGGUGAAGUCGUAACAAGGUAGC